AACGGGACACCCCAACCGACGCCGGGGAGGGCGAACAGCUCCCCCUCGCCUUCCCGGGCAGGAAAAGCGGGCGGAAACGCGCUCCCCGCCGAAGCCCGGGGGAGGGCGGCGGGCGGCGGGCGGCGCGCGGCGUGAAUAUUCAUCAGGGGUGGGGCCCGAACAAUGGCCGGGCCGCGGGCGCGGCCGCGCGGCGCUCGCCGAGACGGCCCGGGGAGAGGGGACGCGCAGGGGCUGUCCCCGGCCAGGUGCCGAGGGACGGACACGCCCCGCCUCGCGCUGACAAUAAAGGAAGGAAAAUUGACCUGGCCCCCAGCGCACGGAGGCCGGCCGCCCGGCCCGCGGGGAGAGGCUGUGUCCCUCCCCGGCGGCCCGCCGCGCCCCGCUCCGAGGGGACGCUUCCGAAGAGGCUGUAUCCUCGCAGAGGAGGGUCCGCCCUUUCUUCUCGCCCCGCUUCGUCUCAUUCCCAUCCCCCACCACCAGAUUCUGCACCCUUAAGACCCUCAUUUCCGGUUUCUCUCCUGGCUCUUCUUUUCCUUUCUCUUCUUUUCCGAGCUAAAUUUGUGGCACGGUUGUCGUUGCGGGAUUUGCUGAGCAUCACUUGGCUGCCCGGUCCACUUGCAGUGGAAACAGAAUCCAAAACAGCUUCUCUGAUUGCCUUGUGCUGAGUUCCUUACCUCGCUCAGUAGGAAACCAACAUCUAAAGAAGUUAAGUGACUUCACAGCUUAAGGUGUGCACAGCUUAACUCAACGCAGGAAUGCCAAGGCCCCUCAAGUCAGCGUCCCUCCACAGUUCUGGAGGCUAGAAGUCCGAGAUCAAGAUUCCAGCUGAUUUGGUUUCUGGAUUGCUUACAUUGAAUUCAGCUAUGAAAAGUCCUUUAUCUGCAAAAUCCUCAAGAGGCCUCAGAAAUGAGAUCAGAGAUAGCCCUAGCUUUGGAAAUCAAGAUGAGAGCCAUACGAAGUGGUUGGGAGAAGCUGUUUGGGGACCUUGAAUUGUUGUUGUGUGUGUCUGGUUUUUAUAGGUUGUUGGACAAGGGAAUCAGGAUCUCUGCCAAGGGAAGGCCACUCUGGGCCUGUUAGAUAAAGAGAUAACAGACUUCUUUAUUUACACUUUAUCACAUACUUGUGUCCUAAGCCUGUGUAGCUAAAUCUCAGGAAGUGACCAGACCAGUGGGCCCCUCUUAUGCUCAGCCGUUUAAUGUGUCGCAAGUGAAAUAGAAUUAUGAGUUUGAAUACAAUGCAUCAGAUACUGGCCAAUAUGCAUGAGGACCCCUAUUGAAGAGGAG
This 1283-nucleotide long non-coding RNA is filed under the name Equus caballus (horse). RNAcentral describes it as "lncRNA (ENSECAG00000047283.1)". The record is from RNAcentral. Lineage: Eukaryota; Metazoa; Chordata; Mammalia; Perissodactyla; Equidae.